RNAcentral lists this ribosomal RNA (497 nucleotides) under uncultured bacterium. RNAcentral describes it as "partial 16S ribosomal RNA". It matches the Rfam family "Bacterial small subunit ribosomal RNA", at positions 28 to 507 of the family's 1533-position model. The record is from RNAcentral.
GAUGAACGCUGGCGGCGUGCCUAAUACAUGCAAGUCGAGCGAACGGACGAGAAGCUUGCUUCUCUGAUGUUAGCGGCGGACGGGUGAGUAACACGUGGAUAACCUACCUAUAAGACUGGGAUAACUUCGGGAAACCGUAGCUAAUACCGGAUAAUAUUUUGAACCGCAUGGUUCAAAAGUGAAAGACGGUCUUGCUGUCACUUAUAGAUGGAUCCGCGCUGCAUUAGCUAGUUGGUAAGGUAACGGCUUACCAAGGCAACGAUGCAUAGCCGACCUGAGAGGGUGAUAGGCCACACUGGAACUGAGACACGGUCCAGACUCCUACGGGAGGCAGCAGUAGGGAAUCUUCCGCAAUGGGCGAAAGCCUGAAGGAGCAACGCCGCGUGAGUGAUGAAGGUCUUCGGAUCGUAAAACUCUGUUAUUAGGGAAGAACAUAUGUGUAAGUAACUGUGCACAUCUUGACGGUACCUAAUCAGAAAGCCACGGCUAACUACGUG